This 301-nucleotide ribosomal RNA is filed under the name uncultured bacterium. RNAcentral's name for it is "partial 16S ribosomal RNA". It matches the Rfam family "Bacterial small subunit ribosomal RNA", at positions 509 to 808 of the family's 1533-position model. The record is from RNAcentral.
CAGUCGCGCGGGAAUACGAAGGGGGCUAGCGUUGCUCGGAAUUACUGGGCGUAAAGGGAGCGUAGGCGGGUCGUUUAGUCAGAGGUGAAAUCCCGGGGCUCGACCUCGGGACUGCCUUUGAUACUGGCGACCUUGAGUAUGGGAGAGGUGAGUGGAACUCCGAGUGUAGAGGUGAAAUUCGUAGAUAUUCGGAAGAACACCAGUGGCGAAAGCGACUCACUGGCCCAUUACUGACGCUGAGGCUCGAAAGCGUGGGGAGCAAACAGGAUUAGAUACCCGGGUAGUCCCUGUCUCUUAUACA